AACGAACGCUGGCGGCAUGCCUAACACAUGCAAGUCGAACGAGACCUUCGGGUCUAGUGGCGCACGGGUGCGUAACGCGUGGGAAUCUGCCCUUGGGUUCGUAAUAACAGUUAGAAAUGACUGCUAAUACCGGAUAAUGUCUUCGGACCAAAGAUUUAUCGCCCAGGGAUGAGCCCGCGUAGGAUUAGCUAGUUGGUGAGGUAAAGGCUCACCAAGGCGACGAUCCUUAGCUGGUCUGAGAGGAUGAUCAGCCACACUGGGACUGAGACACGGCCCAGACUCCUACGGGAGGCAGCAGUGGGGAAUAUUGGACAAUGGGCGAAAGCCUGAUCCAGCAAUGCCGCGUGAGUGAUGAAGGCCUUAGGGUUGUAAAGCUCUUUUACCCGGGAUGAUAAUGACAGUACCGGGAGAAUAAGCCCCGGCUAACUCCGUGCCAGCAGCCGCGGUAAU
Molecule: ribosomal RNA, 450 nt
Filed under: uncultured bacterium
Lineage: Bacteria
Description: bacterial SSU rRNA
Rfam family: Bacterial small subunit ribosomal RNA
Source: RNAcentral